UAGGGAAUCUUCCGCAAUGGGCGAAAGCCUGACGGAGCAACGCCGCGUGAGUGAUGAAGGUCUUCGGAUCGUAAAACUCUGUUAUUAGGGAAGAACAAAUGUGUAAGUAACUAUGCACAUCUUGACGGUACCUAACCAGAAAGCCACGGCUAACUACGUGCCAGCAGCCGCGGUAAUACGUAGGUGGCAAGCGUUGUCCGGAUUUAUUGGGCGUAAAGCGAGCGCAGGCGGUCAAUUAAGUCUGAUGUGAAAGCCCCCGGCUCAACCGGGGAGGGUCAUUGGAAACUGGUUGACUUGAGUGCAGAAGAGGAGAGUGGAAUUCCAUGUGUAGCGGUGAAAUGCGUAGAUAUAUGGAGGAACACCAGUGGCGAAGGCGACUCUCUGGUCUGUAACUGACGCUGAGGCUCGAAAGCGUGGGUAGCAAACAGG
RNAcentral lists this ribosomal RNA (429 nucleotides) under Bacteroidota bacterium. Its description in RNAcentral is "Bacteroidetes bacterium partial 16S ribosomal RNA". It matches the Rfam family "Bacterial small subunit ribosomal RNA", at positions 355 to 776 of the family's 1533-position model. Lineage: Bacteria; Pseudomonadati; Bacteroidota. The record is from RNAcentral.